GUGCCUAAUACAUGCAAGUUGAGCGCUGAAGGUUGGUACUUGUACCGACUGGAUGAGCAGCGAACGGGUGAGUAACGCGUGGGGAAUCUGCCUUUGAGCGGGGGACAACAUUUGGAAACGAAUGCUAAUACCGCAUAAAAACUUUAAACACAAGUUUUAAGUUUGAAAGAUGCAAUUGCAUCACUCAAAGAUGAUCCCGCGUUGUA
Molecule: ribosomal RNA, 206 nt
Filed under: Lactococcus lactis subsp. lactis
Lineage: Bacteria; Bacillati; Bacillota; Bacilli; Lactobacillales; Streptococcaceae
Description: partial 16S ribosomal RNA
Rfam family: Bacterial small subunit ribosomal RNA
Source: RNAcentral